Molecule: non-coding RNA, 706 nt
Organism: Styela clava
Lineage: Eukaryota; Metazoa; Chordata; Ascidiacea; Stolidobranchia; Styelidae
Source: RefSeq, a predicted model, not a curated record
AACGAGUUCGUUUGUGUACAGGCUGUUAUGAAACAGAGUUGUUUAUUCUGUCGUAGAUUACAGAUGAGCAAAGAGGGACAGGCGUUUAAAAGAGUACCAAUAUACGCGAAUUGUUGAGCAGAGUCGGUAACAUUCAGUUCAAUUGAAACCAUUUGAAAGUGGUAAUAAUGUUUUUAAAUUUAUUAUCGCUCGCAUCAAAGGGACACAAAACGGAGAUAGAAUAGAGAUGAAGGACUUAAUUUGGAAAUCACUCCUUUUCAUACGCGCAAGAAUGAAAACCAGCACUGUUGAGUUGAAAUACAGCGAGCAUUCAGAUGUCUGGUAAACCUUUUGCCAAAGAUCAGAUAAUUGGCGAAGAAGAUGUUGGACAAGGAGCGUUUGCAUUGAUUUAGGGACGGAAGUAGAUGAAGAAGGAAGACUUGCAAGAUUGCAGAAGAUAUAUAUCAACAAUUGACUGAAAUUUGUGAUCCAUUUCAAAUGCCGUUUUUUGGUGUGAUUUUAUAACUAUUCUGCCCGUGCUCAAGUUGAGGCCCGGCGGACGACUUCGUUAACGAUCGUACCGUCUUCAGUUACCCCGUUGACUUUGCGUACAUUAUGAGCACGGUCUUUUAUUAGGUGUCUGCGACCAAGUGAACCGCCUAUAUGUUCGAGACUGCCUUUAAAUUAUCGAAUGCAGCUAGAAUAAGUAAACUAGAGCUGUAGGCAG